This is a long non-coding RNA of Salvia miltiorrhiza (redroot sage), 355 nucleotides long. RefSeq lists it as uncharacterized. Lineage: Eukaryota; Viridiplantae; Streptophyta; Magnoliopsida; Lamiales; Lamiaceae. The record is from RefSeq and is a predicted model, not a curated record. The transcript has 2 exons.
UAUGAUCCAAUAAUCUAAAUUAUUUUAAAGUUCAAAUAGGCCCUUAUAUGUUAUUAUUUGAAUUUAUCUGACUAGGUGCGGCGCGACUAGGAUAUGAAUUUUAAUUGUAUUACUCAAGUUAGCAUUCAAGUUGAAGUUCAAGUUCAAGUUAAAUUUCCAGUUUCAGGUGAUUGAUAUCGGAGGCGCGUGGAGAGUCGAAUGGGCGCGUCGAAUCUAUUUAAAGAUAAAUGUUUCCUAAAACAUAUUAUGUUAUUUCAUGUGAUAUCUCUUGAUUAUGUAAACUCUGAAAUUCUAUACUAUUUGAGAUUUGUGUGUGAUUUGUUUAAAUAAAUGUUAUUAUAUUAUUUUAAUGUCA